Molecule: long non-coding RNA, 1461 nt
Organism: Myotis myotis
Lineage: Eukaryota; Metazoa; Chordata; Mammalia; Chiroptera; Vespertilionidae
Exons: 2
Source: RefSeq, a predicted model, not a curated record
GGGGAGUAACAAUGGCUUCCGGCCCCUUUCAGGUACCUCAUAAGCGCUUUUGUCCUCUUGGAAAACGGAGUAUGUAGAAUUUGAGUUGCAGAAUCCCGCGCCCCGUUUUGUUGUGAGGACAUGGUUAGUUAAGCGUGAGCACCCGUUUCCAGAAUGAGACCUAGAGGUGCUGGCGAGCAAAGGAGAGCGACUUCCUCCUCCUCUCGUUGUUUCAUGGGAGUUGCAGUCCUGACGACCCCCUCCAUUUUAUUAUAAAUAGGGUGGGAUAUCAAACCUGUAACCCAGGCAACACGCUUUGGACCAGAAAUCCAACGGGCCACACUCUUCGGGGGUGCGGGCAGAUGCUCUAACCACUGCGCCGGUCGGGGCUUGCAAGGUUUAUUAUAACCCCUUUUUUGAUGGUUUCCCUUUGUAACUUAUGCAUUAACAUGUCACCCUUUUAGCUCUAUUAAAAAAAGGUUUUUAAGACUUGGGGCCCUUGUUCUAAUUGUUUAAGUAGUUCCAGUAUUUUCAUCAUCACAAUAUAGUUUUUGCAAACAAAAAUUCCAUCAGAAUUACUUCAUUAUCAAAUAGCAAAUCCACCAGGAUUUCACCUGUUGAUUGCCUAGCCUAUAAACUCUUAUGAAGAGCUCCAUGUUUUGUUCACUGUAGUAUCUCCAGGUCAGCAUUCCUGACAUGUAAGAUACUCAAAUCUACUUACUCAUUUUAGACUGGCCCUGACAACUUUUGUAACACUGAAGGCAUUUUUCCUGGCUUCCUAAAUCAAGACAAACACCUGGAGAGUGUUUUAUUUUUUUCAGUACACAUUAAAAUGUGCUAGUCCUGAACAAAGUGUCAGCAGCAAGGUUGAUGGUUUUACUUUAAGAUUAAAAUUAAAUCAAGCUCCCAUAGAAAGUUUACUAUCUUAAUUCAGAGAAUUCAGGAUUUAUGUCUUUGGGUUGAGGAAGUAUUGUUUUAGAAAGUUAGUAUGUAGCAACACAGAGAAACAGCUCCAAAUGGUCACCACUUCAACUAACACUCCCCCCUCCACCAAAUAAGAGCAGCAAAGGCACAUGAUUAUGAGCAAAUCCACAUUUAUUUCAACGCCAUGUCGUUUUCAAUUUAAAAACCUCCUAAGUUAGCGGGAGCCCUAGUUCCCUGGGACAGCAUGCCAGAGGUACUGAAUAAAAUUCAUCACCUUUCUCUCCAAACCCCUAGCAAUUCAUCCAAUUCAAGUCCACACAGCGUAGAAAGCCAGGAGUUGUCUCUUCAGUCAGUCUGCUCCUCUGGUUCCUGGUCUUUCUUUCAAGGGAGGGAGGUCAGAAUGUUUCAAAUGGGGAACAAAACCGCAGUUGAGCUUUCAGCUCAGAUUUGUAAGAUGGAGCAAGGAAAGAGCCCACUGACUCCAAAGUAAUGGACCCGUUAAAAUUAAUUCCUCCUUUAUAGUUUUUUUUUUUUUUUUUUUUUUGGGGGGGGGGUGUC